CGCGAGCGUACGGAAAGGGGAGGUAGGGGAGAGCCCCGGAGGAUGUGAGUGGGGAGGGGGCAGUCGCCCCCCUUUCCCCCACCCUUCCCUUCUAGCUGGGCUGGGGUGGGGGGAGGGGCCGGGCUGAGGCGGUGGCGGCUCGCUCCGGUAGGGCAGGGCCGGCAAGGGCGGGACUGGCCUGCUGCGGGCGGACGAGGGAGACGCGGAGCUAACGGGUCCGGACGUCGGCGGCAGCGGCGGCGGCUGCGGCGGCUUUCUGCACGGGCGGAGGCGGCGGCAGGAUCGGCGAGCAUGGCCCGCGCGGCGCCCAGGGCUGACUGAGGUGUUUAAAAAAACUAUCAGAUUGGAUAAAAAGCAAGAAAUGGUCUGGAGCCUGGAGAGACCUGGUCAGCAGGACGUGGGGACUUAACAGGAAUCGCCCUGGCCUUCAUCACAGCACUUUGUAAUCACCUGUGCCUUUGUAUUUGCCACAAAACUGGAAGCUCCAUGAACACAGGACAGGGUCAUGCUACAGCAGCCCCGCACCUGAGAAGUGAGGGGGAAACUGAGGGGGGCUUGCUGCUAGCAGGAGCUAACAGCAAGACAGCAGGACAGCUGGAUGGCUUGGCGUCAGGGGAGCAGGGAUGGGAAAAGCAGCCUCUGAGCUCGGGCCGGCAAUACCAGGAAAGAGGCCUGGGCCCUGGCAGGGAGAUCGACACACGCUCGGCUGACCCAGACUGCAUUCGAAGCAGCACCCCGCAGAACAGCAGCUGCGCCCAGGCCCCAGAGGACCCCAUUGCUGGAGCAGGAGGUCUGUAACCCCUUACACAACUGCAGUUGGGGCUGUGACCAUUAGGAGAAAGGACCUACACCUCGUACAGGAAGUGGAAGGGCAGAACCUAACACAAGGAGGAGCUUGGUCUCUGCAGCAGAGUUUUCUGACACCCACAGAGCUUCCUGGGUUUCUUCUCUCAGGGUUGGGGCCUGGUUCCCCUCCCUUGGUGGAAGGGUGGACACCUCUUGCAUGGAAUCAAGGCUGCUUGAAGCCCACAUUUUCUCUGUUGUGAUUGAGGUUCAAGGGCUUCCCCGCUGCAGGGGACGGGGGGCUGCCUCGGCAUCUGCUCAUGAGCCACAAGGACCCCGAAUGCUCCAGACUGGACUGUUUCAAGCCGCCAAAAAGGGGCGCCCCCAGAGUUGGCAGCCAGCAACCCCAAGGGACUAGAAGGCUGGAAUGGACUGACCUUCCCCUCCUCAGGGCGGUGGGAGAGGCAGAGCAUCUGUGGCCCAGCUAGUGACGGAGAGACCCAAUGAAGCCAUAAGCAGGAGCCCAAGUGUCUCAGGGAGAGGGGAGCCACGCUUGCCUUGCGCUUUCUCCUCACACUGGAAGAGGGUGUGGCCUGGGACUCCUGCGGCUAGCUCCUCUUUGGCACACGCCCUUAUGCCCUUUGUACCCCGUGCUAGAACAAGCAGGCUACGCUGUGGCUGGCCCACUGGUGGACUGGGAAAGGAGUGGCCUCAGUGACACCCGGCCGCCCACCGGGCUGGUGGUCUGG
RNAcentral lists this long non-coding RNA (1532 nucleotides) under Rhinolophus ferrumequinum (greater horseshoe bat). RNAcentral's name for it is "lncRNA (ENSRFEG00010012268.1)". Lineage: Eukaryota; Metazoa; Chordata; Mammalia; Chiroptera; Rhinolophidae. The record is from RNAcentral.